GACGAACGCUGGCGGCGUGCCUAAUACAUGCAAGUAGAACGCUGAAGGAGGAGCUUGCUUCUCUGGAUGAGUUGCGAACGGGUGAGUAACGCGUAGGUAACCUGCCUGGUAGCGGGGGAUAACUAUUGGAAACGAUAGCUAAUACCGCAUAAUAGUAGAUGUUGCAUGACAUUUGCUUAAAAGGUGCAAUUGCAUCACUACCAGAUGGACCUGCGUUGUAUUAGCUAGUUGGUGGGGUAACGGCUCACCAAGGCGACGAUACAUAGCCGACCUGAGAGGGGGAUCGGCCACCCUGGGACUGAGACACGGCCCAGACUCCUACGGGAGGCAGCAGUAGGGAAUCUUCGGCAAUGGACGGAAGUCUGACCGAGCAACGCCGCGUGAGUGAAGAAGGUUUUCGGAUCGUAAAGCUCUGUUGUAAGAGAAGAACGGGUGUGAGAGUGGAAAGUUCACACUGUGACGGUAUCUUACCAGAAAGGGACGGCUAACUACGUG
This 495-nucleotide ribosomal RNA is filed under the name uncultured bacterium. RNAcentral's name for it is "partial 16S ribosomal RNA". It matches the Rfam family "Bacterial small subunit ribosomal RNA", at positions 28 to 507 of the family's 1533-position model. The record is from RNAcentral.